UCCCUGGAGGACUAGAGGUUAGGCCUUGGCGCUCUCACCGCUGCGGCCCGGGUCCGAUUCCCGGCCAGGGAA
Molecule: transfer RNA, 72 nt
Filed under: Pangasianodon gigas (Mekong giant catfish)
Lineage: Eukaryota; Metazoa; Chordata; Actinopteri; Siluriformes; Pangasiidae
Description: tRNA-Glu
Rfam family: tRNA
About the family: Transfer RNA (tRNA) molecules are approximately 80 nucleotides in length. Their secondary structure includes four short double-helical elements and three loops (D, anti-codon, and T loops).
Source: RNAcentral